CCAACCCGAUGAACUAAGCAUGCGAGUCAUUGUAGCAAUACAAGGCAGACGGCUCAGUAACGCGUAGUCAACCUACCCUAUGGACGGGAAUAACCUCGGGAAACUGAGAAUAAUGCCCGAUAGAACAUUAUGCCUGGAAUGGUUUGUGUUUGAAAUGAUUUAUCGCCGUAGGAUGGGACUGCGGCCUAUCAGUUUGUUGGUGAGGUAAUGGCCCACCAAGACUAUUACAGGUACGGGCUCUGAGAGGAGUGGCCCGGAGAUGGGUACUGAGACACGGACCCAGGUCCUAUGGGGCGCAGCAGGCGAGAAAACUUUGCAAUGUGCGAAAGCACGACAAGGUUAAUCCGAGUGGUUUCUGCUAAAGAGACCUUUUGUUAGUCCUAGAAACACUGAUGAAUAAGGGGUGGGCAAGUUCUGGUGUCAGCCGCCGCGGUAAAACCAGCACCUCAAGUGGUCAGGAUGAUUAUUGGGCCUAAAGCAUCCGUAGCCGGCUAUGUAAGUUUUCGGUUAAAUCUGUGCGCUUAACGUACAGGCUGCCGGGAAUACUGCAUAGCUAGGAAGUGGGAGAGGUAGACGGUACUCGGUAGGAAGGGGUAAAAUCCUUUGAUCUAUUGAUGACCACAUGUGGCGAAGGCGGUCUACCAGAACACGUUCGACGGUGAGGGAUGAAAGCUGGGGGAGCAAACCGGAUUAGAUACCCGGGUAGUCCCAGCUGUAAACUAUGCAAACUCAGUGAUGCAUUGGCUUGUGGCCAAUGCAGUGCUGCAGGGAAGCCGUUAAGUUUGCCGCCUGGGAAGUACGUACGCAAGUAUGAAACUUAAAGGAAUUGGCGGGGGAGCACCACAAGGGGUGAAGCCUGCGGUUCAAUUGGAGUCAACGCCGGG
This 884-nucleotide ribosomal RNA is filed under the name uncultured archaeon. Its description in RNAcentral is "bacterial SSU rRNA". It matches the Rfam family "Archaeal small subunit ribosomal RNA", at positions 29 to 922 of the family's 1478-position model. The record is from RNAcentral.